Molecule: ribosomal RNA, 253 nt
Filed under: uncultured bacterium
Lineage: Bacteria
Description: partial 16S ribosomal RNA
Rfam family: Bacterial small subunit ribosomal RNA
Source: RNAcentral
UACGAAGGGGGCUAGCGUUGUUCGGAAUUACUGGGCGUAAAGCGCACGUAGGCGGAUUCUUAAGUCAGGUGUGAAAUCCCGGGGCUCAACCUCGGAACUGCAUUUGAAACUGCGAAUCUAGAGACCAGGAGAGGUUAGCGGAAUACCGAGUGUAGAGGUGAAAUUCGUAGAUAUUCGGUGGAACACCAGUGGCGAAGGCGGCUAACUGGACUGGUACUGACGCUGAGGUGCGAAAGUGUGGGGAGCAAACAGG